CCGUAAGAAUUUAAACGACCAGUCGCAAUCGUUACCUGAGAAUCUUAGGUCUUUAACUUAAGUAGAUAAAAAUGAAAAUCUUCGCUGGUUUUGUUGUGUGUUUAUUAAUCAUCUUCUUAUGGAUUGAAUCUGAUGCCUCCUGUUUUAAUACCCACGAUGGUAAGAGAUCGAGGAAGACCUUCAAGACUAACUAUAAGUUGACUGACCAAUGCGUGGAAUAUACAUGCAAUGCGAAUGGAGAGUGGUCGAUAAAAGGGUGUUAUGAGUGGGUAUGCAAACGACGGGUAAUCGGUUACGAAACCGCUAAUUUUUCAAAACCAUUUCCUUAUUGCUGCGGAUAUCCCAUUUGUGAUUGAAUUUAAUAAUUAUUUUUUAAUCUAAUGUUUAAAUUUUGAAUGUUUGAAUUUA
Cotesia glomerata is the source of this 408-nucleotide long non-coding RNA. RefSeq lists it as uncharacterized. The record is from RefSeq and is a predicted model, not a curated record. The transcript has 3 exons. Lineage: Eukaryota; Metazoa; Arthropoda; Insecta; Hymenoptera; Braconidae.